Molecule: ribosomal RNA, 381 nt
Filed under: uncultured bacterium
Lineage: Bacteria
Description: bacterial SSU rRNA
Rfam family: Bacterial small subunit ribosomal RNA
Source: RNAcentral
AGCGAACGCUGGCGGCAGGCUUAACACAUGCAAGUCGAGCGGGCGUAGCAAUACGUCAGCGGCAGACGGGUGAGUAACGCGUGGGAACGUACCUUUUGGUUCGGAACAACACAGGGAAACUUGUGCUAAUACCGGAUAAGCCCUUACGGGGAAAGAUUUAUCGCCGAAAGAUCGGCCCGCGUCUGAUUAGCUAGUUGGUGAGGUAACGGCUCACCAAGGCGACGAUCAGUAGCUGGUCUGAGAGGAUGAUCAGCCACAUUGGGACUGAGACACGGCCCAAACUCCUACGGGAGGCAGCAGUGGGGAAGUAUUGGACAAUGGGCGGCAAGCCUGAUCCAGCGAUGCCGCGUGUGUGAAGAAGGCCUGCGGGUUGUAAAGCAC